AGCGACCAAUAGGAGCUUGCUCCUGUUGGUUAGCGGCGGACGGGUGAGUAACACGUGGGCAACCUGCCUGUAAGACUGGGAUAACACCGGGAAACCGGUGCUAAUACCGGAUAAUCCUUUUCCUCUCAUGAGGAAAAGCUGAAAGUCGGUUCGGCUGACACUUACAGAUGGGCCCGCGGCGCAUUAGCUAGUUGGUGAGGUAACGGCUCACCAAGGCGACGAUGCGUAGCCGACCUGAGAGGGUGGUCGGCCACACUGGGACUGAGACACGGCCCAGACUCCUACGGGAGGCAGCAGUAGGGAAUCUUCCACAAUGGACGAAAGUCUGAUGGAGCAACGCCGCGUGAGCGAUGAAGGCCUUCGGGUCGUAAAGCUCUGUUGUUAGGGAAGAACAAGUACCGGAGUAACUGCCGGUACCUUGACGGUACCUAACCAGAAAGCCACGGCUAACUACGUGCCAGCAGCCGCGGUAAUACGUAGGUGGCAAGCGUUGUCCGGAAUUAUUGGGCGUAAAGCGCGCGCAGGCGGUCCUUUAAGUCUGAUGUGAAAGCCCACGGCUCAACCGUGGAGGGUCAUUGGAAACUGGGGGACUUGAGUGCAGAAGAGGAAAGCGGAAUUCCACGUGUAGCGGUGAAAUGCGUAAAGAUGUGGAGGAACACCAGUGGCGAAGGCGGUUUUCUGGUCUGUAACUGACGCUGAGGCGCGAAAGCGUGGGGAGCAAACAGGAUAAAUACCCUGGUA
This 741-nucleotide ribosomal RNA is filed under the name uncultured Bacillus sp. Its description in RNAcentral is "bacterial SSU rRNA". It matches the Rfam family "Bacterial small subunit ribosomal RNA", at positions 65 to 792 of the family's 1533-position model. The record is from RNAcentral. Lineage: Bacteria; Bacillati; Bacillota; Bacilli; Caryophanales; Bacillaceae.